AGAGUUUCAUCAUGGCUCAGGACGAACGCUGGCGGCGCGCUUAACACAUGCAAGUCGAGCGAGAACCAUUCCUUCGGGAAUGGGGACAGCGGCGAACGGGUGAGUAACACGUGGGUAAUCUGCCCUCGAUUCUGGGAUAGCCCGGGGAAACCCGGAUUAAUACCGGAUAGCCUCGCGAGCUUUCGAGCUCGUGAGAAAAGGUAGCUUCGGCCUCCGAUCGAGGAUGAGCCCGCGGCGGAUUAGCUUGUUGGUGGGGUAAUGGCCUACCAAGGCGACGAUCCGUAGCUGGUCUGAGAGGACGAUCAGCCACACUGGGACUGAGACACGGCCCAGACUCCUACGGGAGGCAGCAGUGGGGAAUCUUGCGCAAUGGGCGAAAGCCUGACGCAGCGACGCCGCGUGGGGGAAGAAGGCCUUCGGGUUGUAAACCUCUUUCAGCAGGGACGAAGCCACUCGGGUUAAUAGCCCAGAGGGUGACGGUACCUGCAGAAGAAGCCCCGGCUAACUACGUGCCAGCAGCCGCGGUA
This 527-nucleotide ribosomal RNA is filed under the name uncultured Actinomycetes bacterium. RNAcentral's name for it is "bacterial SSU rRNA". It matches the Rfam family "Bacterial small subunit ribosomal RNA", at positions 8 to 522 of the family's 1533-position model. The record is from RNAcentral. Lineage: Bacteria; Bacillati; Actinomycetota; Actinomycetes.